AUGCACUUUGGCUGCAUGUAUACUAGAAUUGGAACAAUACAGAGAAGAUUAGCAUGGCCCCUGAGCAAGAAUGACAUGCAAAUUCAUGAAGCAUUCCAUAGUUUU
Molecule: small nuclear RNA, 105 nt
Filed under: Neogale vison (American mink)
Lineage: Eukaryota; Metazoa; Chordata; Mammalia; Carnivora; Mustelidae
Source: RNAcentral